Molecule: ribosomal RNA, 889 nt
Filed under: uncultured bacterium
Lineage: Bacteria
Description: bacterial SSU rRNA
Rfam family: Bacterial small subunit ribosomal RNA
Source: RNAcentral
CUCGUAGGUGGUUGUUACGUCGGUUGUGAAAUUCAGGGGCUCAACCCUGACUUGCAGCCGAUACGGGCAAGCUAGAGUUUGGUAGGGGAGACUGGAAUUCCUGGUGUAGCGGUGGAAUGCGCAGAUAUCAGGAGGAACACCGAUGGCGAAGGCAGGUCUCUGGGCCAAUACUGACACUGAGGAGCGAAAGCGUGGGGAGCGAACAGGAUUAGAUACCCUGGUAGUCCACGCCGUAAACGGUGGGCGCUAGUUGUGCGAACCUUCCACGGUUUGUGCGACGCAGCUAACGCAUUAAGCGCCCCGCCUGGGGAGUACGAUCGCAAGAUUAAAACUCAAAGGAAUUGACGGGGCCCCGCACAAGCAGCGGAGCAUGCGGCUUAAUUCGACGCAACGCGAAGAACCUUACCAAGGCUUGACAUAUACAGGAAUAUGGCAGAAAUGUCAUAGCCGCAAGGUCUGUAUACAGGUGGUGCAUGGUUGUCGUCAGCUCGUGUCGUGAGAUGUUGGGUUAAGUCCCGCAACGAGCGCAACCCUCGUUCUGUGUUGCCAGCAUUUAGUUGGGGACUCACAGGAGACUGCCGGGGUUAACUCGGAGGAAGGUGGGGAUGACGUCAAAUCAUCAUGCCCCUUAUGUCUUGGGCUGCACGCAUGCUACAAUGGCUGGUACAAACGGCUGCGAUACCGCAAGGUGGAGCGAAUCCGAUAAAGCCAGUCUCAGUUCGGAUUGGGGUCUGCAACUCGACCCUAUGAAGUCGGAGUUGCUAGUAAUCGUAGAUCAGCAACGCUACGGUGAAUACGUUCCCGGGGCUUGUACACUCCGCCCGUCACAUCACGAAAGUCGGUAACACCCAAAGUCAGUGUCCCAACUGCAAGGAGGGAGCCGCCAAAG